CCUACGGGAGGCAGCAGUAGGGAAUGUUCGGCAAUGGGGGGAACCCUGACCGAGCAACGCCGCGUGAAGGAAGAAGGUAUUCGGAAUGUAAAGUUCUUUUAACAGGGAAGAAAGAGAAAUUGGACGGGACCUGAAGAAUAAGCUCCGGCUAACGACGUGCCAGCAGCCGCGGAAAGACGUAGGGAGAGAGCGUUAUCCGGAAUUAUUGGGCGUAAGGGGGGCGUCGAUGGCAUAGGAAGUCUUUUGUAAAACUGCUGGGCUCACCCCAGUAGGGCAAAAGAGACUGCAAAGCUAGAGUAUGACAGAGGCAAGUGGAACUACCUGUGUAGCGGU
Molecule: ribosomal RNA, 333 nt
Filed under: uncultured bacterium
Lineage: Bacteria
Description: partial 16S ribosomal RNA
Rfam family: Bacterial small subunit ribosomal RNA
Source: RNAcentral